This 214-nucleotide unclassified non-coding RNA is filed under the name Zymoseptoria brevis. RNAcentral describes it as "partial internal transcribed spacer region". The stretch from base 1 to 46 matches the Rfam family "Eukaryotic small subunit ribosomal RNA", at positions 1786 to 1831 of the family's 1831-position model. The record is from RNAcentral. Lineage: Eukaryota; Fungi; Ascomycota; Dothideomycetes; Mycosphaerellales; Mycosphaerellaceae.
AAGUCGUAACAAGGUCUCCGUAGGUGAACCUGCGGAGGGAUCAUUACCGAGCGAGGGCCUCCGGGUCCGACCUCCAACCCUUUGUGAACACAUCCCGUUGCUUCGGGGGCGACCCUGCCGGGCGCCCCCGGAGGACCACCAACACUGCAUCGCAUGCGUCGGAGUUUACGAGUAAAUCGAAACAAAACUUUCAACAACGGAUCUCUUGGUUCUG